Molecule: long non-coding RNA, 354 nt
Filed under: Cricetulus griseus (Chinese hamster)
Lineage: Eukaryota; Metazoa; Chordata; Mammalia; Rodentia; Cricetidae
Description: lncRNA (ENSCGRG00015036261.1)
Source: RNAcentral
CCCUCUGAAGGCCCAGGGAGAUAAUUGUGAGGCCUAUAAUACAAUGCUGCAUGGUUACCAGCUUCAAAAACAAAGGGCAAAACCAGCUAUUUAUCAGCGCUACUGUCACAGCUCACCAAGGAAUCGCCAUUGCACACAUACAAGCAUUUCCAGGUUCUGUCUCUGAUGGGGACUGUUGAAGAGCCAAGACUCAGAGCACUGGAUACAGAAACAGAAACCUGGAAAGCAGACAUAAAAAUGAGUCACAACUCUUCAAAGUGUGUCCAGAAAGCAAGGGCUCUAAGUCAUUUUCCUAUGAGGUGGGAGACACACCACUUUUCCUUUCUUCAUCUGCUGACACCAACAUGUAGGAGC